RNAcentral lists this long non-coding RNA (227 nucleotides) under Olea europaea (common olive). RNAcentral describes it as "long non-coding RNA (OEUR_LNC014961)". Lineage: Eukaryota; Viridiplantae; Streptophyta; Magnoliopsida; Lamiales; Oleaceae. The record is from RNAcentral.
CUCUAUAAAAGGUGAGGAAAUCCCAUUUUUCAGGAUUUUCGAACACUUGUACUCUGAUAUUCUCUUAAAUCUUCAAAUUUUUCCGACGUCGAGGUUGACUGUAAUUUCAAUUUCCGGCCAAUCUCCAUUUGUGUCGAAUUUCCUUAGGUAUUUUUUGCAGAAAAUACCAUCUUACUGUCUUUUUACUGAAAAAAUGGAGUCCACUUCGGGUAGGGAGCUAGUGACAG